CCUACGGGGGGCAGCAGUGGGGAAUAUUGGGCAAUGGACGCAAGUCUGACCCAGCAACGCCGCGUGAAGGAAGAAGGCUCUAUGGUUGUUAACCUUUUUUUAGGGGGAAGAGCAGAAGACGGUACCCCUUGAAUAAGCCACGGCUAACUACGUGCCAGCAGCCGCGGUAAUACGGAGGUGUCCAGCGUUGUCCGGAUUUCCUGGGUGUAAGGGGCGUGCAGCCGGUGAGACAAGUCAGAUGUGAAAUCCACGGGCUCAACCCGUGAACUGCAGUUGAAACUGUUUGUCUUGAGUGUCGGAGAGGUAAUCGGAAUGCGUGGUGUAGCGGUGAAAUGCGGAGAUAUUAGGAAGAACACCGGUGGCGAAGGCGGAUUACUGGACGAUAACUGACGGUGAGGCGCGAAAGCGUGGGGAGCAAACAGGAUUAGAUACCCGAGUAGUC
This 442-nucleotide ribosomal RNA is filed under the name uncultured bacterium. RNAcentral describes it as "partial 16S ribosomal RNA". It matches the Rfam family "Bacterial small subunit ribosomal RNA", at positions 338 to 795 of the family's 1533-position model. The record is from RNAcentral.